CUCUAAGUCAAGAUCUACUAGAUUUCGAGUCUAUCCCAGGAGAGUGUGUAUUAUUACAAUAUGUAGAUGACUUGUUGAUAGCAGCAGUUACAAAGGAAGUAUGUCAGCAAGCAACGCACGAUCUACUACGCAUUCUCUGGAAGGCAGGAUACAAGGUGUCAAGAAGGAAGGCUCAGUUGUGUUUGCCAACUGUCAAAUAUCUGGGAUUCCAUAUCUCUGAAGGUCAAAG
This is a non-coding RNA of Pelobates cultripes (western spadefoot toad), 229 nucleotides long. NCBI's taxonomy places the organism in Eukaryota, Metazoa, Chordata, Amphibia, Anura, Pelobatidae. The record is from the annotation of a GenBank genome assembly.